Molecule: ribosomal RNA, 918 nt
Filed under: uncultured archaeon
Lineage: Archaea
Description: bacterial SSU rRNA
Rfam family: Archaeal small subunit ribosomal RNA
Source: RNAcentral
UCUGGGUUGAUCCUUGCCAGAGGUUACUGCUAUCGAGGUUCGACUAAGCCAUGCGAGUCGAAUGUAGCAAUACAUGGCGAACUGCUCAGUAACACGUGGACAACCUGCCCUUUAGGUUGGGUAUAAACCCGGGAAACUGGGUAUAAUACCCGAUAGGUCUCGAUUGCUGGAAUGCAUCGAGAUUUAAAGCUCCGGCGCCUAAGGAUGGGUCUGCGGCCUAUCAGGUAGUAGUGGGUGUAGCGUACCUACUAGCCUACGACGGGUACGGGUUGUGAGAGCAAGAGCCCGGAGAUGGAUUCUGAGACACGAAUCCAGGCCCUACGGGGUGCAGCAGGCGCGAAAACUUUACAAUGCUGGCAACAGCGAUAAGGGAACCUCGAGUGCCAGGUUACAAAUCUGGCUGUCGAGAUGCCUAAAAAGCAUUUCAUAGCAAGGGCCGGGCAAGACCGGUGCCAGCCGCCGCGGUAACACCGGCGGCUCGAGUGGUAACCGUUAUUAUUGGGUCUAAAGGGUCUGUAGCCGGCCGGAUAAGUCUCUUGAGAAAUCUGGCAGCUUAACUGUCAGGCUUUCAGGAGAUACUGUCUGGCUCGAGGCCGGGAGAGGUGAGAGGUACUUCAGGGGUAGGGGUGAAAUCUUGUAAUCCUUGAAGGACCACCAGUGGCGAAGGCGUCUCACCAGAACGGACCUGACGGCAAGGGACGAAAGCUAGGGGCACGAACCGGAUUAGAUACCCGGGUAGUCCUAGCCGUAAACGAUACUCGCUAGGUGUCGGCCACGGUGCGACCGUUGUCGGUGCCGUAGGGAAGCCGUGAAGCGAGCCACCUGGGAAGUACGGCCGCAAGGCUGAAACUUAAAGGAAUUGGCGGGGGAGCACCACAACGGGUGGAGCUUGCGGUUUAAUUGGAUUCAACGCCGGAA